Molecule: small nucleolar RNA, 92 nt
Filed under: Calidris pygmaea (Spoon-billed sandpiper)
Lineage: Eukaryota; Metazoa; Chordata; Aves; Charadriiformes; Scolopacidae
Description: Small nucleolar RNA SNORD103/SNORD85 (ENSCPGG00000009549.1)
Source: RNAcentral
GCUGGCAAUGAUGACACUCUUGCCCUCACCGAGAUCCCUCGCGGGGGUCGUUGUUGAGAGCAUCCUCUGUGCGCAUCGUGGACUGAGCCUCC